This 610-nucleotide ribosomal RNA is filed under the name Glomus sp. MS. RNAcentral's name for it is "SSU rRNA". It matches the Rfam family "Eukaryotic small subunit ribosomal RNA", at positions 644 to 1255 of the family's 1831-position model. The record is from RNAcentral. Lineage: Eukaryota; Fungi; Glomeromycota; Glomeromycetes; Glomerales; Glomeraceae.
GGGUUAGUAGGUUGGUCAUGCCUCUGGUAUGUACUGAUCUCACUGAUUCCUCCCUCUUGACGAACUGUGAUGUCAUUAAUUUGGUGUUGCAGGAAAUCAGGACUGUUACUUUGAAAAAAUUAGAGUGUUUAAAGCAGGCUAAGGCUUGAAUACAUUAGCAUGGAAUAAUGAAAUAGGACGUUUGAUCCUAUUUUGUUGGUUUCUAGGAUUGACGUAAUGAUUAAUAGGGAUAGUUGGGGGCAUUAGUAUUCAAUUGUCAGAGGUGAAAUUCUUGGAUUUAUUGAAGACUAACUACUGCGAAAGCAUUUGCCAAGGAUGUUUUCAUUAAUCAAGAACGAAAGUUAGGGGAUCGAAGACGAUCAGAUACCGUCGUAGUCUUAACCAUAAACUAUGCCGACUAGGGAUCGGAUGAUGUUAAUUUUUUAAUGACUCAUUCGGCGCCUUACGGGAAACCAAAGUGUUUGGGUUCCGGGGGGAGUAUGGUCGCAAGGCUGAAACUUAAAGGAAUUGACGGAAGGGCACCACCAGGGGUGGAGCCUGCGGCUUAAUUUGACUCAACACGGGGAAACUCACCAGGUCCAGACAUAGUAAGGAUUGACAGAUUGAGAGC